GACGAACGCUGGCGGCGUGCUUAACACAUGCAAGUCGAACGGUAAGGCCCUUCGGGGUACACGAGUGGCGAACGGGUGAGUAACACGUGGGUAAUCUGCCCUGCACCUCGGGAUAAGCCUGGGAAACUGGGUCUAAUACCGAAUAGGACCACAGGACACAUGUCCUGUGGUGGAAAGCUUUUGCGGUGUGGGAUGGGCCCGCGGCCUAUCAGCUUGGUGGUGGGGUGAUGGCCUACCAAGGCGACGACGGGUAGCCGGCCUGAGAGGGUGUCCGGGCACACUGGGACGGAGAUACGGCCCAGACGAGUACGGGAGGCAGCAGUGGGGAAUAUUGCACAAUGGGCGAAAGAGUGAUGCAGCGACGCCGCGUGGGGGAUGACGGCCGUCGGGUUGUAAACCUAUUUCACCAUAGACGAAGGUCCGGGUGUUCUCGGGCUGACGGUAGGUGGAGAAGAAGCACCGGCCAACUACGUG
Molecule: ribosomal RNA, 474 nt
Filed under: uncultured bacterium
Lineage: Bacteria
Description: partial 16S ribosomal RNA
Rfam family: Bacterial small subunit ribosomal RNA
Source: RNAcentral